GGGGUUGUGGUCUAGUGGUAUGACAUCUUCUUAGCAUUGCUCUUUCGAGCAGUACUGAGUUGGAGAAGGUUCUGGGUUCGAUUCCCAGCUACUCCA
Molecule: transfer RNA, 96 nt
Filed under: Aureobasidium subglaciale EXF-2481
Lineage: Eukaryota; Fungi; Ascomycota; Dothideomycetes; Dothideales; Saccotheciaceae
Rfam family: tRNA
About the family: Transfer RNA (tRNA) molecules are approximately 80 nucleotides in length. Their secondary structure includes four short double-helical elements and three loops (D, anti-codon, and T loops).
Source: Rfam by way of RNAcentral